GUGGCCCUACGGGACGCAGCAGUAGGGAAUCUUCCACAAUGGGCGAAAGCCUGAUGGAGCAACGCCGCGUGGGUGAAGAAGGUGUUCGGAUCGUAAAACCCUGUUGUUAGAGAAGAAAGUGCGUGAGAGUAACUGUUCACGUUUCGACGGUAUCUAACCAGAGAGCCACGGCUAACUACGUGCCAGCAGCCGCGGUAAUACGUAGGUGGCAAGCGUUAUCCGGAUUUAUUGGGCGUAAAGGGAACGCAGGCGGUCUUUUCAGUCUGAUGUGAAAGCCUUCGGC
RNAcentral lists this ribosomal RNA (283 nucleotides) under uncultured bacterium. RNAcentral describes it as "partial 16S ribosomal RNA". It matches the Rfam family "Bacterial small subunit ribosomal RNA", at positions 333 to 608 of the family's 1533-position model. The record is from RNAcentral.